RNAcentral lists this ribosomal RNA (239 nucleotides) under uncultured bacterium. Its description in RNAcentral is "partial 16S ribosomal RNA". It matches the Rfam family "Bacterial small subunit ribosomal RNA", at positions 123 to 354 of the family's 1533-position model. The record is from RNAcentral.
AACCUGCCCAAGAGACUGGGAUAACACCUGGAAACAGAUGCUAAUACCGGAUAACAACACUAGACGCAUGUCUAGAGUUUAAAAGAUGGUUCUGCUAUCACUCUUGGAUGGACCUGCGGUGCAUUAGCUAGUUGGUAAGGCAACGGCUUACCAAGGCAAUGAUGCAUAGCCGAGUUGAGAGACUGAUCGGCCACAUUGGGACUGAGACACGGCCCAAACUCCUACGGGAGGCAGCAGAA